Long non-coding RNA from Aethina tumida (small hive beetle), 308 nucleotides. RefSeq lists it as uncharacterized. The record is from RefSeq and is a predicted model, not a curated record. The transcript is spliced from 3 exons. Lineage: Eukaryota; Metazoa; Arthropoda; Insecta; Coleoptera; Nitidulidae.
CAUGGUGUUGAAAGAGAACAAAUUUUUUCAUUUGAUACAGAAAAGGCUCUUCCAACCAUUUAUUUUAAAAGGAUUUUGUAUAUGCCACUUCAAGGAGCGAAAUUAUGUUGUUUGCAUGCUUUCAUCCUCACAGCAUUUAAUAUUGUUUCUGAUGGAUUCGCAAUUUACAUUUGGUGGUGGUUAAUGGGAUUUCCUAAUCUUUCUCCGGAUAUGGGUCAGACAGACUGUUAGAUUCUUAUUAAGGACGUCCUAGAAGAGAGAGAUUGAUAUUAAAGACAAUAGGGAGGCACAGAUAUAUUGAUGGACGA